AUUGAACGCUGGCGGCAGGCCUAACACAUUCAAGUCGAACGAGUGGCGGACGGGUGAGUAAUGUCUGGGAAACUGCCUGAUGGAGGGGGCUAACUACUGGAAACGGUCGCUAAUACCGCAUACCAUCAUUUUUCCCCAGAUGGGAUUGGCUGGUUGGUGGGGUAACGGCUCACAAAGGCGACGACCCCUAGCUGGUCUGAGAGGAUGACCAGCAACACUGGAACUGAGACACGGUCCAGACUCCUACGGGAGGCAGCAGUGGGGAAUAUUGCACAAUGGGCGCAAGCCUGAUGCAGCCAUGCCGCGUGUAUGAAGAAGGCCUGCGGGUUGUAAAGUACUUUCAGCGGGGAGGCGGUACCCGCAGAAGAAGCACCGGCUAACUCCGUGCCAGCAGCCGCGGUAAUAC
This 406-nucleotide ribosomal RNA is filed under the name uncultured bacterium. RNAcentral's name for it is "partial 16S ribosomal RNA". It matches the Rfam family "Bacterial small subunit ribosomal RNA", at positions 30 to 526 of the family's 1533-position model. The record is from RNAcentral.